Molecule: ribosomal RNA, 997 nt
Filed under: uncultured prokaryote
Description: bacterial SSU rRNA
Rfam family: Bacterial small subunit ribosomal RNA
Source: RNAcentral
CCCGCCGUCCUAUCAUGCAAGUCGAGCGGAUCGAUGGGAGCUUGCUCCCUGAGAUCAGCGGCGGACGGGUGAGUAACACGUGGGUAACCUGCCUGUAAGACUGGGAUAACUCCGGGAAACCGGGGCUAAUACCGGAUAAUUUAGUUCCUCGCAUGAGGAACUGUUGAAAGGUGGCUUUUCGCUACCACUUACAGAUGGACCCGCGGCGCAUUAGCUAGUUGGUGAGGUAACGGCUCACCAAGGCAACGAUGCGUAGCCGACCUGAGAGGGUGAUCGGCCACACUGGGACUGAAACACGGCCCAAACUCCUACGGGAGGCAGCAGUAGGGAAUCUUCCGCAAUGGACGAAAGUCUGACGGAGCAACGCCGCGUGAGUGAAGAAGGUUUUCGGAUCGUAAAACUCUGUUGUUAGGGAAGAACAAGUGCCGUUCGAAUAGGGCGGCACCUUGACGGUACCUAACCAGAAAGCCACGGCUAACUACGUGCCAGCAGCCGCGGUAAUACGUAGGUGGCAAGCGUUGUCCGGAAUUAUUGGGCGUAAAGCGCGCGCAGGUGGUUUCUUAAGUCUGAUGUGAAAGCCCACGGCUCAACCGUGGAGGGUCAUUGGAAACUGGGGAACUUGAGUGCAGAAGAGGAAAGUGGAAUUCCAAGUGUAGCGGUGAAAUGCGUAGAUAUUUGGAGGAACACCAGUGGCGAAGGCGACUUUCUGGUCUGUAACUGACACUGAGGCGCGAAAGCGUGGGGAGCAAACAGGAUUAGAUACCCUGGUAGUCCACGCCGUAAACGAUGAGUGCUAAGUGUUAGAGGGUUUCCGCCCUUUAGUGCUGCAGCUAACGCAUUAAGCACUCCGCCUGGGGAGUACGGUCGCAAGACUGAAACUCAAGGAAUUUGACGGGGGCCCGCACAAGCGGUGAGCAUGUGUUUAUUCGAGCACGCGAGACCUUACAGGUCUUGACAUCCUCUGACACCCUAGAGAUAGGGCUUUCCCUUUCGGGGG